UUAAGCAUAUCAAUAAGCGGAGGAAAAGAAACCAACAGGGAUUGCCUUAGUAACGGCGAGUGAAGCGGCAAUAGCUCAAAUUUGAAAUCUGGCGCUUGCGUCCGAGUUGUAAUUUGCAGAGGAUGAUUUUGGUUAGGUACCUUCCGAGUUCCUUGGAACAGGACGCCUUAGAGGGUGAGAGCCCCGUACGGUUGGAUGCCGAGCCUUUGUAAAUCUCCUUCGACGAGUCGAGUAGUUUGGGAAUGCUGCUCUAAAUGGGAGGUAAAUUUCUUCUAAAGCUAAAUACUGGCCAGAGACCGAUAGCGCACAAGUAGAGUGAUCGAAAGAUGAAAAGCACUUUGAAAAGAGGGUUAAAUAGCACGUGAAAUUGUUGAAAGGGAAGGAUUUAUGACCAGACUUUUUCUAGGAGGAUCAUCCGGUGUUCUCACCGGUGCACUUCUUCUAGUUUAGGCCAGCAUCGACUUUCGGCGGUGGAUAAAAGCUUUAGGAAUGUGACUCCUCUCGGGGAGUGUUAUAGCCUAUUGUAUAAUACACUGCUGGGGGUCGAGGUACGCGCUUCUGCAAGGAUGCUGGCGUAAUGGUUAUCAAUCACCCGUCUUGAAACACGGACCAAGGAGUCGAACAUUUGUGCAAGUGUUUGGGUGUUAAACCCUCACGCGUAAUGAAAGUGAACGGAGGUGAGAGCCCUUACGGGUGCAUCAUCGACCGAUCCUGAUGUUUUCGGAUGGAUUUGAGUAAGAGCAUAACUGUUCGGACCCGAAAGAUGGUGAACUAUGCGUGGAUAGGGUGAAGCCAGAGGAAACUCUGGUGGAGGCUCGCAGCGGUUCUGACGUGCAAAUCGAUCGUCAAAUCUGCGCAUGGGGGCGAAAGACUAAU
RNAcentral lists this ribosomal RNA (876 nucleotides) under Hyalotiella spartii. Its description in RNAcentral is "eukaryotic LSU rRNA". It matches the Rfam family "Eukaryotic large subunit ribosomal RNA", at positions 34 to 935 of the family's 3401-position model. The record is from RNAcentral. Lineage: Eukaryota; Fungi; Ascomycota; Sordariomycetes; Amphisphaeriales; Sporocadaceae.